UACGGAGGGGGCUAGCGUUGUUCGGAAUUACUGGGCGUAAAGCGUGUGUAGGCGGAUUUCUAAGUACCUUGUGAAAUCCCACGGCUCAACCGUGGAACUGCUUGGUAUACUGGUUAUCUUGAGCCACUUAGGGGCUACCGGAACAAAUGGUGGAGCGGUGGAAUGCGCAGAUAUCAGGAGGAACACCGGUGGCGAAGGCGGGUCUCUGGGCAGUAACUGACGCUGAGGAGCGAAAGCGUGGGGAGCGAACAGG
This 253-nucleotide ribosomal RNA is filed under the name uncultured bacterium. Its description in RNAcentral is "partial 16S ribosomal RNA". It matches the Rfam family "Bacterial small subunit ribosomal RNA", at positions 524 to 776 of the family's 1533-position model. The record is from RNAcentral.